RNAcentral lists this ribosomal RNA (276 nucleotides) under uncultured bacterium. RNAcentral describes it as "partial 16S ribosomal RNA". It matches the Rfam family "Bacterial small subunit ribosomal RNA", at positions 333 to 625 of the family's 1533-position model. The record is from RNAcentral.
ACGGGCCUACGGGAGGCAGCAGUGGGGAAUAUUGCACAAUGGGGGAAACCCUGAUGCAGCAACGCCGCGUGAGUGAAGAAGGUUUUCGGAUUGUAAAGCUCUGUUAGCAGGGAAGAGGAAGGACGGUACCUGCAGAGGAAGCCACGGCUAACUACGUGCCAGCAGCUGCGGUAAUACGUAGGUGGCAAGCGUUGUUCGGAAUAACUGGGCGUAAAGGAUGCGUAGGCGGCUAAACAAGUUAUAAGUUAAAUAUAUAGGCUUAACCUGUAGAAAGCA